CCAUCCUUAGCUCAGUUGGUAGAGCAAUCGUCUUAUACACGAUCGGUCCCAGGUUCGAAUCCUGGAGGAUGGA
RNAcentral lists this transfer RNA (73 nucleotides) under Candidatus Parcubacteria bacterium. Its description in RNAcentral is "tRNA-Ile". It matches the Rfam family "tRNA". Rfam says of the family: Transfer RNA (tRNA) molecules are approximately 80 nucleotides in length. Their secondary structure includes four short double-helical elements and three loops (D, anti-codon, and T loops). Lineage: Bacteria; Candidatus Parcubacteria. The record is from RNAcentral.